GCUGGGUGUGGUGGCGGGUGCCUGUAAUCCCAGCUACUCGGGAGGCUGAGGCAGGAGAAUCGCUUGAACCCAGGAGGCGGAGGUUGCAGUGAGCCAAGGUUAUGCCACUGCACUCCAGCCUGGGUGACAGAGCGAGACUCUGUCUCAA
Molecule: signal recognition particle RNA, 148 nt
Filed under: Nomascus leucogenys (northern white-cheeked gibbon)
Lineage: Eukaryota; Metazoa; Chordata; Mammalia; Primates; Hylobatidae
Description: Metazoan signal recognition particle RNA
Rfam family: Metazoan signal recognition particle RNA
About the family: The signal recognition particle (SRP) is a universally conserved ribonucleoprotein.
Source: Rfam by way of RNAcentral